Molecule: long non-coding RNA, 479 nt
Organism: Dromiciops gliroides (monito del monte)
Lineage: Eukaryota; Metazoa; Chordata; Mammalia; Microbiotheria; Microbiotheriidae
Exons: 3
Source: RefSeq, a predicted model, not a curated record
CCUCUCCUCAUCCAACCAAGUCGCCAGACGACUCAUUCUUUGCCUGGGAUCUGUAAGGAAGUGUGGACUGGGAGUGCCAAAGGAACUGCAGCAGGUGCAUGGCCCAUUAGAAUGAAAAGAAAGAAAAAGCUACAUUCUCUUUCUGGACGAAAAAUACUGCUUAUAAAAGAGGGCAAAGGGGAAUUCUUCUGAAGUGAAAGUCUCGGGACCUUCUCAUUCUUUUUCAAAUGACUUCGAGGAAAAAGAUAAAAGGGUAGCAAUUAGAGAAAUUGAGGGAAGGAACCUGAAUGGAAUGCAAAAAGAAGGUCAAGUUGAUGAUGUGUGAUAAAGGAACACUGAAUCCAAAAAAAGAAAAUCAAUAUUCCCUGUGCACUCACUAAAGUCUUCCCUUCCAGUGAUAUAAUGAAAGUAAACACAUGCUGGGUAAGAGAGGACUAUUGCUUGGACCCAACAUGGCCAUCAAAACUUGUUCAAAUAGC